UUGAACGCUGGCGGCAUGCCUUACACAUGCAAGUCGAACGGCAGCACGGGAGCAAUCCUGGUGGCGAGUGGCGAACGGGUGAGUAAUAUAUCGGAACGUGCCCAAUCGUGGGGGAUAACGCAGCGAAAGUUGUGCUAAUACCGCAUAAGAUCUACGGAUGAAAGCGGGGGAUCGCAAGACCUCGCGCGAGUGGAGCGGCCGAUAUCAGAUUAGCUAGUUGGUGGGGUAAAGGCCCACCAAGGCGACGAUCUGUAGCUGGUCUGAGAGGACGACCAGCCACACUGGGACUGAGACACGGCCCAGACUCCUACGGGAGGCAGCAGUGGGGAAUUUUGGACAAUGGGCGCAAGCCUGAUCCAGCAAUGCCGCGUGCAGGAUGAAGGCCUUCGGGUUGUAAACUGCUUUUGUACGGAGCGAAAAGGUCUGCCCUAAUACGGUGGGCUCAUGACGGUACCGUAAGAAUAAGCACCGGCUAACUACGU
Molecule: ribosomal RNA, 482 nt
Filed under: uncultured bacterium
Lineage: Bacteria
Description: bacterial SSU rRNA
Rfam family: Bacterial small subunit ribosomal RNA
Source: RNAcentral